Molecule: transfer RNA, 83 nt
Filed under: Apaloderma vittatum (bar-tailed trogon)
Lineage: Eukaryota; Metazoa; Chordata; Aves; Trogoniformes; Trogonidae
Rfam family: tRNA
About the family: Transfer RNA (tRNA) molecules are approximately 80 nucleotides in length.
Source: Rfam by way of RNAcentral
GGCCAGUUAGCUCAGUGGUUUGAGCACGGUGCUGGCAAACAAGGACCAACACCGAGGUCGCAGGAUCGAUUCCUGCUUGGUCC